Molecule: long non-coding RNA, 820 nt
Organism: Ixodes scapularis (black-legged tick)
Lineage: Eukaryota; Metazoa; Arthropoda; Arachnida; Ixodida; Ixodidae
Exons: 6
Source: RefSeq, a predicted model, not a curated record
CUCGUUAUCAGAUCAAAGGCGUUGCUAAAAGGAAGAUGCAACAGGUGGUCUACUUACUCUGCUCUUAAAGAUUUCGUAAUCCCUUCUUUAAAAGGAAAAACAUCUUUUCCCAGGAAUUUUUCAAGAGGCAACGAUUGAAAAAAGCACUACAGGAGAUGCCGCCAAAGUGGCCGAACUUGAGUGUGAAGAUGAAAUUCCAUUUCCGACCCAUGUCCAGCCAUUCAACUAUGACAACUUCAGAAGCGCAGUGGAUAGUCCAUACAACCCAGAUUGGCUGGAAGUGUCUCUCAGCGAAAGUCCACAGUCUGUAAUGACCCAGCAUGAACUGCAAAAACCGACGGACUUUGCACCCCAAAGUAUCGUGACGAGGCCCAUUGGGACGCCACGGUUUGCUAUCAGAAAUGCGUAUGGAGCCAGCGUUUCUGAAAGCCAGCCACCGCAACUCCCAGUACUUGAAUACGAGCAUCCACUGCCUUCUGACGCACAGAUACCGACCGGACAGCCCGAACAAUGCGCGUCAACCUCCUUCCAAGGCAGACGGACGAGACAAGGUGGAGGCGGCAGCAAUGGCGCGUCAUGUUCUUCCUCCACCCUCGAUUCCAUGAUCAGCAGCCCCAUAUCCGUGACCAGCCGGGUCAGCGAGCCACGAAGCUACGGAAUGGAGACUCAAGUUUCAGAGGAAAGUGUGUUUGGUUAUAGUUUAGUUUAUUUUCUUUUUUACCAUUUAGGAGAUCUGCAACCCAAAACUCUCAAAGCCCCAGACACGGUCAAAAGUGUCUGCGCAACAAAAACGAUCCCUGCAGCUGAAAGUUUUGUACAG